RNAcentral lists this long non-coding RNA (578 nucleotides) under Struthio camelus australis. RNAcentral's name for it is "lncRNA (ENSSCUG00000011653.1)". The record is from RNAcentral. Lineage: Eukaryota; Metazoa; Chordata; Aves; Struthioniformes; Struthionidae.
AACUGGUCGAUAUGUUUUUAGUUACGUAUGUUUUUUUCUUCUUUUCAACACAGGCUUUUUCAAACUUAUAAGUUCUCCACAAUUGUCUCCAUAUUGGAAGCUGUUCAACUCUCUAAUGAUGAGGUAUCCAUGUGGAGAUAAAGCACAUCCCUGAACAACUUAAUUCUUCAUUAAAGAGAUGUGUUCUAUAUUCAUGGGCCCGUUUUCUUGCAUAUCUCUUACUGACUGGGAAAUGCAGAACUCAUUUGAUUCAUGUUGGCCUAGCCUAAAGGAGUUGCCCAGCUGGAAUAGUAAAAUAAUUCAGACAUGUAAGGGUAAGUAACUGAAGACAGGUCUCUUUUGUUAAAAGUACUGAAAAGUAUGUGCAGUUAAAAUAACAAGAGGACACAUUCAAGUUCCAUUAAAUAUAAAUAGCUACCUUUCUCGAUUGCUUUCUAUUGUGCAAAAUUACUGACUUGCUUAAAACAAAAGUAUUAUAAAAUACGUCUUUUACCUGGGUAAUGAUGUUGGUUUAUCGUCUGUUAGAAGGUGGUAUUUGAUACUGGGAAAGUAUAAUUUUCUUGCUUUUAGUCAUAAGU